This 314-nucleotide ribosomal RNA is filed under the name uncultured eukaryote. RNAcentral describes it as "partial large subunit ribosomal RNA". It matches the Rfam family "Eukaryotic large subunit ribosomal RNA", at positions 40 to 350 of the family's 3401-position model. The record is from RNAcentral.
AUAUUAUUAAGCGGAGGAAAAGAAACUAACAAGGAUUCCCCUAGUAACAGCGAGUGAAGCGGGAAUAGCUCAACCUGAAAAUCGGUGUGCUCUGUACAUCGAAUUGUGGGCUUGAGACUGGACAUCAGCGUGCGACCUGGGUAUAAAUCCUUUGGAAUAGGGUAUCAUAGAGGGUGAGAAUCCCGUCUUUGACUCAGAGUUCGCCGCGUACGAUUCCAGCUCCUAGAGUCGAAUAGCUUGGGAAUGCUGUUCUAAGCAGGUGGUAAAUUUCAUCUAAAGCUAAAUAUCGACGAGAGACCGAUAGCGCACAAGUA